CCUCUCCAUCACCUUCCCAAACACCAACUCCUUCUCCCUCUCCCUCUCCAAUGGUUACUUAUGAGUAUCUUUCUUCUCCAAAUACUACAGUUAAUGCUCCACCAGUGUGUGUAAUGCCAACUGAUUGUAAAGCAUGGAAAGAACUGGGAAUUAAA
This is a long non-coding RNA of Amphimedon queenslandica, 155 nucleotides long. RefSeq lists it as uncharacterized. Lineage: Eukaryota; Metazoa; Porifera; Demospongiae; Haplosclerida; Niphatidae. The transcript is spliced from 2 exons. The record is from RefSeq and is a predicted model, not a curated record.